Molecule: ribosomal RNA, 421 nt
Filed under: Fusobacteriota bacterium
Lineage: Bacteria; Fusobacteriati; Fusobacteriota
Description: Fusobacteria bacterium partial 16S ribosomal RNA
Rfam family: Bacterial small subunit ribosomal RNA
Source: RNAcentral
UGGGGAAUAUUGCACAAUGGACGGAAGUUUGAUGCAGCGACGCCGCGUGGAGGGUGUAGGCCUUCGGGUUGUGAACUCCUUUUUCUCGCGAAAAAGGCACAGUUUUGGCUGUGUUGAUGGUAGUGGGGGAAGAAGCGCCGGCUAACUACGUGCCAGCAGCCGCGGUAAUACGUAGGGCGCGAGCGUUGUCCGGAGUUAUUGGGCGUAAAGAGCUCGUAGGUGGUUCGUCGCGUCUGUCGUGAAAGCCAGCAGCUUAACUGUUGGUCUGCGGUGGGUACGGGCGGGCUUGGGUGCGGUAGGGGUGACUGGAAUUCCUGGUGUAGCGGUGGAAUGCGCAGAUAUCAGGAGGAACACCGAUGGCGAAGGCAGGUCACUGGGCCGUUACUGACACUGAGGAGCGAAAGCGUGGGGAGCGAACAGG